AGAGAGAGACAUGCGCGCAUAUCAAUAAGCGGAGGAAAAGAAACUAACAAGGAUUCCCCUAGUAACGGCGAGUGAAGCGGGAAGAGCUCAAAUUUGAAAUCUUAAAGGGUUUCCCUUUACGAAUUGUAGUUUAAAGAAGUGUUUUCUGUUGAGGUUUUGGUAAAAGUUCUUUGGAAUAGGACAUCAUAGAGGGUGAGAAUCCUGUAUUUGACCUUUACUUUCAACUUUGUGAUACACUUUCAAAGAGUCGGAUUGUUUGGGAAUGCAGUCCAAAAUGGGUGGUAAAUUUCAUCUAAAGCUAAAUAUUGGCGAGAGACCGAUAGCGAACAAGUACCGUGAGGGAAAGAUGAAAAGAACUUUGAAAAGAGAGUUAAACAGUACGUGAAAUUGUCAAAAGGGAAGCGUUUGACACCAGUGUUGUUUUUCUGAAAAUCAAUUAAAGAACUGUUUAUGCUAAGCUGUUUAGACUUUAUCAGCUAUCUGUUUAGUUUUGAGCUUUUCUUUAAUGCACUUUUCAGUUAACAAGUCAACAUCAAUUUCUUUUGCUGUAAAAAAGCUUGAGGAAGGUGGCUUGAGAUUCGUCUUAAGUGUUUAUAGCCUCUUGCCUAUGCAGUCGGAGAGAUUGAGGUCUGCAGCGUAGAUCCUUCGGGGCUAAAUGCAUUUGUGCUAAGUUAUAGCAUUUUAUAGACAACUUGUUGACUAUGAUUUGUCUUGUAGCUUACUCGCUUAUGUUAUUUUACCUACGCUUAGGAUGUUGACGCAUGAGAUAUACGC
This 774-nucleotide ribosomal RNA is filed under the name uncultured Neocallimastigales. RNAcentral describes it as "partial large subunit ribosomal RNA". It matches the Rfam family "Eukaryotic large subunit ribosomal RNA", at positions 23 to 647 of the family's 3401-position model. Lineage: Eukaryota; Fungi; Neocallimastigomycota; Neocallimastigomycetes; Neocallimastigales. The record is from RNAcentral.